This 121-nucleotide transfer-messenger RNA is filed under the name Clostridiales bacterium. RNAcentral's name for it is "partial transfer-messenger RNA". It matches the Rfam family "transfer-messenger RNA", at positions 1 to 123 of the family's 374-position model. From Rfam's summary of the family: Bacterial tmRNA, also known as 10Sa RNA or SsrA, is named for its dual tRNA and mRNA-like properties. Its role is to liberate the mRNA from a stalled ribosome. To accomplish this part of the tmRNA is used as a reading frame that ends in a translation stop signal. Lineage: Bacteria; Bacillati; Bacillota; Clostridia; Eubacteriales. The record is from RNAcentral.
GGGGGCGUACUGGUUUCGACGGGGAUAAUAGAGGUGGGAGAAGCGAGUCGCGGACUCCGGGGCCGCGUAAAAACCUGGAACUUAAACACAAACGCUAAUAACGAUAAUUUAGCAUUCGCAG